UGAAGGAAAGUUCCCUUUGGCUAAAACAAUGAAUUAUGAGCUUGUAGAAAACUGAAAUUUAAGAGUCAAAGAGCAGAACCAAAUAAUUACACACCUGCUCCAUCUAAAUAAGAGCCAAUUCUUAACAAAAUGGUUGCCUUUUCCAAUCCAGACAAUAUAGUUAAAAGCCACUAAUUCAGAGGCUAGUCCACCUGGAAAGUGAACUAGAAACAUAUAUUAUUGUUAAAAUUAGUGGGAAAACAAACAACAUCUAAAUUUGUGCCAAAAUUUAAUUUUUUUUAAUGUACUGUAACCUUAUUCCUACCUAGUACAGUAAGGAUCUCUUGCAAUAAAAAUUAUAUUCCUGGAAUUUUUCUAAGUAAAAAAGUUUUCAAAUUGGUAUUUCAAAGAUUCAAUAAGUUUAAGAAGAAAAAAAAAAAGGAAAAACAUCUUCAUUUUGUAAAAUGGGAUUCAAUCCAGAGUUAACCAUAAAACAAGCACUACAUUUCUAAAAGCUCUUAAAAAAAAAAAAAAAAAAAAAAAAAAUUCCAGAAUAGUUAACUAUCUUCUGGGCCUUCAAGAAUACAGCUCAGACUCCUAAUAAAGCAGUCAUGGAUCAUGAAACUGAAUUGGCUAAGUUCAAAUCACAAACCCAUCACUUACAACUGUGUAACUCUUAGCCUUUCUGUGCCUCAUAAGAUUUGUAAAAUAAGGAUUAAUAAUAGUACCUACCUCAAAAUGUUGAGAAGGAGGGAGAGGGAAAGAAAAAAGAAGUAACUACUUGCCCUAAAUCACAGAGCUAGGAGACCAGAGGGCCAGAAUUCAAAACAGUCUAAUUCCCAAGUCUUUAUGCUUUAACACUUUUUUUUCUGCUAGACUUCCUCAAAGCAUGAGAUGUGCUUCAUUUUCUGAAGGAUGUGUUUAUGUACAAGUGCAACUGGUGUAAAUCCUUCUUACUAUAUCAGUCCCUCAAGUCUGUUCUCCUAAAACAAGAACCCAGAAACACAAUCAUCACAAGAAGUUCUACAGUAUAUGACGUAACUGUCUUUGUUGAAACUCAUUUACCUUUAUUACUAAAAAAUUAUUGUCAUCUAGAAUUUUCAUUUAUAUUAGUUUUAUUUAUUGUCCUGAGGAGAAUUUUUCCUGUCAAGUGGUAAAGGAAAUGUUCAUCAUUUAUGAAUAAAAUGUUAUUUAAUCUAAUGAGUUAAA
This is a long non-coding RNA of Sapajus apella (tufted capuchin), 1188 nucleotides long. RefSeq lists it as uncharacterized. The record is from RefSeq and is a predicted model, not a curated record. Lineage: Eukaryota; Metazoa; Chordata; Mammalia; Primates; Cebidae. The transcript is spliced from 2 exons.